GAGAAGGCAGUGUUUGCUUAUAUCAUUAUCUAAGGACAGUGUGAUUGGAAUAAGCUCAUGCAAACAUCAUCUUUACAGAUAAAAUGAUAUCGUAAGUAUUCCUCAGCAACAUCUCUAGGGUACCC
This is a long non-coding RNA of Lutra lutra (Eurasian river otter), 125 nucleotides long. RefSeq lists it as uncharacterized. The transcript has 3 exons. NCBI's taxonomy places the organism in Eukaryota, Metazoa, Chordata, Mammalia, Carnivora, Mustelidae. The record is from RefSeq and is a predicted model, not a curated record.